This 236-nucleotide ribosomal RNA is filed under the name Pneumocystis carinii. RNAcentral describes it as "partial large subunit ribosomal RNA". It matches the Rfam family "Bacterial large subunit ribosomal RNA", at positions 848 to 1075 of the family's 2925-position model. Lineage: Eukaryota; Fungi; Ascomycota; Pneumocystomycetes; Pneumocystales; Pneumocystaceae. The record is from RNAcentral.
GCUGGUUUUCUGCGAAAGUUGUUUUAGCAAAAUGUUUAUGGGAACUAUUAGUAGGUAUAGCACUGAAUAUCAAAGAAGAGGGAGUAUGAGAAUACUUAUCUCGGAUAUUUAAUCUCAGAAUGACUAAUAUGGGGAAAUAAACAAUCGGACUACUUGCGAGAAGGUAGGUAGUCAAAAGGGAAACAGCCCAGAACAGUGAUGAAAGCUCCCCAAUUAAUAUUAAGUGAGAAUUCCCA